UCCGACUCUUGUGACAUGUUUGAUCCAAUGAACUCGCUCCCCUUUUCCUGGAGCCUCAGCCUCUGGUGAAACUGGACUUUCAAGUCUGUGCAGGUGAAGGUGUGUGAGAGCGCCCGAGAUGGCAGAACAAGAGCUACAGGGUACAAGCCCGAGGGACGAGCUGCGCGGUGAUUGGCUGCGGGGAGGCCUCAGGUGAGCUGCCAUUGGCAGAGGCGCGCUCAGGUAAGGCCCUUCUCCAAGUGCAGGUAACUCACUCCGAAGUUUACCCGAGUGGAGCGGCGGCACGUUCGCGGCGCGGAGGCAGCCCGUGGGAGCCGAGGGGAUUAUGGGUCGAACGGAAGGACUAAGGAGAGCUGAACUCGGGAUCCCCAGCCAACCGGAAUCCGAGGCGCAGCGCAACCACCGGGCUUUUUCGUGCCCACCAUGGAGAGGACUGUUCGACGGUUUCCGAAGAGUUUGAAGUUUACUUUGUGCUCAGAGGAGGGGAAAACACAACGAUUGCCGGGUUUGUUGCGUGAUUUCAUUUGUAACAUACCCACAACCAACACUUUCCGUGCCCCAAUUUGGUGUAAAGUAUGCCCAGUAGAUUACAGCUUUUCUAAGAGGUGAGCAUCCUUUCGUGAGCUGGGCAGAUGAUCUCGGUGGGGUGAGGAGAUUUGAUGGAACAGACCAUAAAUUGGCCCCUGGCGCACCUUUUUCCAUCUCACCUCUGCAGCUUGGGAUUCCGGAGCUGCAAACAACCACUGUUCCAUAAGCCUGUGGUCUUUUUGACGUUUCCAGGCAGGCAUCAACAUUGACAUUGUAAUUCAAUAGAAGCUGUGACUACAAAGGUGCUUUAUCCUUCCAGGUUAAUAUGGUUGCUACGGAAACAAUUCAGGAUGAAGCUGACUUUUUUUGUGGUUCUGCUUCACUUGGUUGGAAACAACUCCCAACUAGCAAAGGUGCAAUUCAUUUAUAAUCACUGCUCCCAAAGUGUGUUUGUGAAAAUUUUUUAUAGGGAUCUAGCCCAUACUUAUGAAUUGUGGAACUGAAGGGGGAUGUGAAAAGCUUACCAUAUUUUAUUCCAUGUUACAUUGUGAGAGUUCAUACAACUUUUAAUCUUUAUGGAUCAGAUGUUUUCUAAAAUUUGCAUUGUGAAACAA
Myotis lucifugus (little brown bat) is the source of this 1142-nucleotide long non-coding RNA. RefSeq lists it as uncharacterized. Lineage: Eukaryota; Metazoa; Chordata; Mammalia; Chiroptera; Vespertilionidae. The record is from RefSeq and is a predicted model, not a curated record. The transcript is spliced from 3 exons.